ACCAGGAAGCCUUGCCUGCCAUGCCAACUUCAACAGUCUAGAGAGGGGGCUUGCCAUCAUCAGUUUGGAGGUGAGGACGCUGUGGUUCAGAGAAGUGAGGUGGCUUCUCCGAGGUCACACAGUCCAGUGAGAGAGCUACGAUUUAAACCAGGUCCGUCUUAAUCCACUGAAUGUGCUAUAUCAGGAGAGAAAGGUAUGCUGGAGUGCAAAUUUGGAGUGGGCAUAUUUGUGGCCUCCUGAAGGGAACAAGUGGCUAGAGGAGCUGCAGAGCUCUGCGGGGCUUGAAAGGUGUCCAUAACCUUCCAUUAUCCACCUUGACCAGGACAGAAGCAUUAGUUCAUGGGAGAGCAGAAUUUGGUUCCUGCAGAGUUUAUCAAUUCUUAUAAUUAUCCAGAAUGACUCAUGUUGCGGCCAAACCAAGUGCCUUCUGCAAACGGGCCAUCCAGACCAGGGUUGAGUCAGCUGCGUCAGUGGGAGCCACACGGGGCUUGUGGCCAUGGUCAAGGCAAAUAUGUAGGUUUGUGGUCAAGGCCUUCUAGCAGGCAUGAGAAAUAUGGGGAAGUCAUGGGAGCACUUCAUGCUUCAGAACUAAAGGGAGGGAUUAGGAAGACAGAGCAGCAGAAGCAGGAGGUUUUGCUUGGAAUCUGCCAUCAGCAAUGCCGAGGCCUGGCCUUGGUGGAAAUGGAGGUGCUGCUUAACUUUUCUUCCAAAACAUAGUACAACCCUAGUCAUCCUGGUGAGUAACAAGAUUGCUCCAUAAUCCAACCCAGUGAGUAAUCCCUUUUGCUGAUGGUGAGUGGUAUGGAGAGAAAAACAUGAAAGUGCACUGUGGAAAUAAUGCCAGUAGCUCCCACCAGAAAUCCCUUAGGCUGUGCCUAUUAGAGCUAGGGUACACAUCUAGAAAAUGCCCCUUUCUUUAUCAGUACCCAACAUAUAGGACCUGUUAACCCUGCUCAUGCUUUAUGUACACAUUGAAUGUUUAUCUGGCUCUUGAUGCCAUCUCAAGAAAGAGACUCAACACCACAAAAUACUUAAGAGAAAUGUAUAUGAUAUGGUUUGGCUGUGUCACCAUCCAAAUCUCAUCUUGAAUUGUAGCUCCCACAAUUCCCACGUGUUGUGGGAGGGACUUGGUAGGAGAUAAUUGAAUCUUGGGGGCAGUUCCCCCAUACUGUUCUCAUGGUAGUGAAUAAGUCUCAUGAGACCUGAUGAUUUUGUAAGGGGUUUCCCCUUUCGCUUGGUCCUCAUUCUGUCUUGCCUGCUGCCAUGUAAGACGUGCCUUUCGCCUUCUGCCUUGAUUGUGAGGCCUCUCCAGCUAGAUGGAACUGUGAGUCCAUUAAACCUCUUUUUCUUUAUAAAUUACCCAGUCUCAGGUAUGUCUUUAUUAGCAGUGUGAGAACAGACUAAUACAAUAUAUUUUACUGAAGAUAUUGUGAACAUCAACAGGAAGAAUCCACAAUGCAUUUCACACUGCAAAAAUACAGUAAAACACCCCCAUUACACAUAUUUCUUGAUUUUCAAAAAGCAUUUUUCUUUACCAGCUUUCUUAUCUCCCUUUCUUUUCUUGCUUCAAAACACUCUAUUCUCUGAGCAAUUCAGCUCAGUGUUUCUUGUUCUAACAGAGCAUUCUGCAAGGAUCAUGUUCCUUCUUCCACAUAUUCAUCCUUUAGAUGUUUCUUUCAUGAGAAGCUAUGAGUGGUAAACUGUCUUGGUUAUUGUUUCACCAAAAUGUUUUUAUUUUGCUAUCAUUCUUGAAAGGUAACAUUUCUGAGGACACAGUUCCAGAUUGACAAUUAUUUUUUUCAGCCUUUGAUGACAUGAUUCCAUUGUCUUUGUGCUUUGUUAUUUCUGACAGAGGUCUGCUGUCAGACUAUAGUCAUUUUGUAGUAGAUGAGCUAUCUUUCAUUUCAUGUGACUUAAACCAUUUUCUCUUUUGCUUUGGUGUUUUACAGUUUCACCUGAUGUGCCUAGUGUGUGUGACUAUUAUUAUUAUUAUUAUUAUCAUUUUUUGAGAUAGGGUCUCACUCUGUCACUCAGGCUGGAGUGCAGUGGCAUGAUCUAGGUUCACUGCAGUCUUGACCUCCUGGGCUCUAGUGAUCCUCCCACCUUGAGACCCUGAGUAUUUGGGACCACAGGCACAUGCCAUCACACCUGGCUAAUUUUUAAAUUUUUUUGUAGAGCUGAGAUCUCAUUAUGUUGCCCAGGCUGAUCGCAAACUCCUGAGCUCAAGCAAUCCUCCUGCCUCAGCCUCCCAAAGUGCUGACAUUACAGGUGUGAGCUGAGGUGCGUAGCUAUAUUUGGAAAUUUGUCCUGCAUUAUUCUUCCUGUCUCUGAGGAUUCAUGUCAUUCAUUAGUUCUAGAAUUUCCUUAGCCACUUUCUUUUUGGAAUGUCUCUCCCAUUGUUUCUAUUCUUUCUUCUGGGACUCCGGGUGUAUGUUAGAACUUCUCAUUCCUCCCUUUUUCUUACUCAUUGUAUUCUCUCAUCUUUUUCUUGCUGCAUUCUGAGUGUUUUCUUAAGAUCUGUCUUCAGUUCACAAAUUCUUUAGUCAUUCAUGUUUAUUUUGCUGCUUCACUUAUCUAUUAGUUUAUUUAUCUUUGCAUUCAUUCAUCUAUGUAUCUUUCAUCUACACAUGUACACGCAUAUAUAUGUAGUUUAAUGCAUGUUAUUUUAAUUAGAUAUAGU
Molecule: long non-coding RNA, 2680 nt
Filed under: Homo sapiens (human)
Lineage: Eukaryota; Metazoa; Chordata; Mammalia; Primates; Hominidae
Description: HSALNT0347182
Source: RNAcentral